GUCUCGAUUAGAUUGUGGAUUAGAUUUGAUAUCUUACAGAGAACAUAAAGUUCAGAACAAAGAUUAUGUCUUUUAGGUCAGGUCACUGUUUAAAACUCACAAUCAGUGUGACAUUUUUACAUAGCUUCUGUUUCUUUGUAAAGCACUGCCUCAUAAAGCUCAUUGUGAAGAAUGCCUACACCUGCGUUACACAACACCAUCUCAUGGAUGAACAAGGGUGGGUAAAGCAGGUCUACAUCCAGCGCACCCUUAUCUUCUGUAACAAAGCUGCUGAAGAGGAUUAUGCUGCUGUUGCCUCAGAAACUUAGUCACCAGUGGAAAGAGAGCACAGAGAGGGGUGGGGAGUCCACGCAGAGAGUAGAAACAGACAGGCAGGCGAUACUACUGCUACAACCCUUCACACACACACAGCACCAGCUUUUUCUUUCUUUCUUUCUUUUUUUUAGGCUGACACAGAUUUUUUCUAAAACCUGCCACCAUGUGGCACCCUUUGAUUAUCGGCAUCAUGACAGUGAACACCUCUCUAACCGUCUUCUACUGGGCCUUCAUCCUGGGCGAUGCUUACUACAAGUGGCUGAUGGAGCCAGAAGACAAGCCCAAGAAGGUGGUCACCCCAGCUUGAGGGAGCCAGUAUGGAUCUACCUGAAUGAGUGACUGGAUGUUAUUUGCUUAGGAAUACUCUGCUCAGCUAGUAGUGCUUACAGUGAAUUUCUGCUUCUUUUUUUAUGUAUUCUUUUUUUUUUUUUAACUGGAAAAGCCUUGGAUUCCUGUUUUGAACUGAAAAAAUAACCUAAAGCAAUCUGCAAGUUGAUGAGAAGAAUCAUUCUUACAGGUAAAGUGUCAAUUUAUCUUAAUAUUUAUUUCGCAUCAUUUUAUUGUGUUUUAGCUACAUUUGUUGCUUGCAGUGUGAAUCAACACACACAUACACACUUCACACACCAUCCGCAGGCAACAGGUCCUUCAGGUGACACUAAAUGAACCGUUUAAGCUUUCUGCUGACUCGGUGAAAAGGUUUUGUUGGUGACAGUGGCAUGAGUCAAGCAAAUCCUGUUAGGAUUACUAAACUACUAAACACCACCUCUAAACUGGCACAGUUGGUGUUACUUUCGUAACAGCUUCAUCCUGAGACACAUUCAGAAACCCUCGUCUCAUCUCUCGUUUGCAUCUCUCCUGAAAGCUUAUUUUUCACUCUUCCUCCUUUUCCUUUUUCUCUCUAUUUUAUUUUAUUUUUUACAUCUCUCCACAACAUGUCGCACGUCUUCUACUGGGGUAUGCACCCAGUCUCUUGGUUCAUUCUUUUCGCCAAUAUAGCCGUAACGGUCAUUGAAUGGAAGUUUCUUGCCUCUCAGUUUUACAAACUUAACUGGAAAAAGGAAGAACAACAAGCCAAUGCCUAAAAUCCUGGUGGAAACCACAUCCACAUCCUGAUGCUGCACUGAGAAUAUUUAGCUGCUUCUGUACAGUUCACCCCAGAAUUCAAAAACAAAAAACCAGAGGAAUCGUCUCAACUCUUUGCUGCAGACUGGAUAUUUGGCCCCAAACCAGUGGAGGAUGAUUCAGAGGGAGGGGAUGCAGAAAUAGAGGAAGAGAGGCGACUCAGCGUUUCCAGCAAGCUGUUGGAGAAAGAUGAGAUCAGAAUGGAGGAAGAAAAAGAAGGCCAGCUGCCUGGUUUCCACCAGGGAGACGCAGGCCGCUGUCGUCCAUCCACCCCUCCGCUGAGAAGCGCCAUUGCUUCGUCAUACCCUGGAGAAAAAAGGAUUUCCACACAUAGCGUGACCUUCGCCUGCCCCGUGGCCCCUUACGUCACUUCCCUUUGAGUUUUUUCAUCACAGCAGUUUUUAUUACGUCUUAAUCACAGUGCAGUGAUCAGUGAUGUCCUCGCUGUAGUGAUGCAGAGGCUGAGGCACUCUUGUUUUAUGCUGGUGUUAUAGUUAGCGUGCAAAAAAUGUACAAGAAAAUGUUGUUAGUAAGCACGAUCCAUACUGUCAGUCUGUUUCUACUGCACCAUGCUGAAAUUCGCUGUCCAGCUGCUCGUGGUAAAAACUGUAAACAAAUUAAGUUUCAAGUAAAAAUAUCAGUUAUGUUAAUAACUUAACUUUACAUCUAAAAAUGUUCAUUGGAAACACACUGUGUCCAGUUCGUCCACAAGGCUAGACAGAAAGUGUUGUGAAAUUGCAAAAUCAAAAAGACUUGUCAUGUUACAUGUGCUUGUAAUGUGUUUCUAAAGAAAACGUACAUCACUUCUCCUGGUGUUGGACUAAGCUUCUCCCCAAUAAACAACUCGAUAAUACACGCUCGUUCCUCCUGUCUUGUCUGCUUUCAUUAAUCCAUCUUACCUUCUCCUAAUACCUGCUUGUGCCCAGGGUGAUGACCUUGUUUAUAAAUGCAGAGGAUUAUUGCACUUGAGCAUAUUAAAUACAGCUGAGUGAUGUAAGAUAGAUAGAUAGAUAGAUAGAUAGAUAGAUAGAUAGAUAGAUAGAUAGAUAGAUAGAUAGAUAGAUAGAUUUCUACAGAGAGAAAAACAGGAAUCUUGUUCACAUGAGAUACAGCUUUGCAUUUAUUUUAAAUCUUACUUUAGCAGUCAUUAGUCAUAAGGCUGAUCAGCUGUGAAUUAGAGGAUCUUCACAGCUUCCUUGAUUCAUGCAAAGAGUUUCAUUCACGAUUUCCUGAAUUUUGAGUAAUUUUGCUGUUGUUACAAUGCUGACAUUGGAGAAUGUGAUAUUUCCUCCUGAUCUCUUUGUAUUUUGCACAGAACGUUCUGUGCGAUUAAAUCUUUGUGCCGGCUUCUUAAUACAGCGAUGACCCACAGAUAUUAACUGGACUCGCAGGCUGACAGCAGAGGCAGCCAGACUGCAAUGGACAGCUUAAACGUUCGUCACAAAGAGGAAGAUGGCACAGUGUUAUUUGAGUCAUAUAUCCCUCCUUCUCGGGAUGCUAUCCACCUGCCCACCUACGUCCUCUACUUGCUCAUAGCCGUCUUCGUCGUGUUUUCGGUUCUCUACGCCAUCACGGGCCACCUCAUCAAAGACCUCAUCCAUGACUGUGCAGACUGGCUGUUUGGGGAGCAGCCUGCAGAAGUGGUGGUGAACUACUGUGAGGCCAAGGAUAAGUUCAUGGCAGACUGGUCCCCACAAACCAGCCCUGAAGUAGAGGCAAUGGCCCGGGAAGAGGAGAACAAGGUGAUUGACAGAGACUUUAUGAAAUCCCCUGCCAUCUGGAUCAUCUCUACAGAACCACAAGGGGCAAAAACAGGACCCCGGGUGGUCUUUGGGAAUAGGACUUGAACCCAUCAGAGACUUGCUGUCGUUACAGACCUUCUGUAUGUGAUGUGAAUGUAUAAAUAUCUAGAUGGAUGAUGAAGGUAAAGAACCAUUUCUGUGUGAGGCUCAAAAUAGAUUAUUAGAUUUAAUUUCAAUAUUUUGCAAAAUAAGAUUAAAAAGUAAGAUUAAAGAUUUUAGUAUAAGCCUUCGUGUGGAUUUUUUUUAAAUAUAAAUGUUUUGUGGAACAUGUGCAUGUAGCACUGAUCUAUCAUGUGGAGUAGUAAACAAGUAUCUUGUGAAAAUAGUUCUGAAAAGUUAAGCCAUGAAAGUAAUGGUACAAUUACACUCUUCUCAAUAAUAAUGAUGAUUUGUCUGUUAACAAUAAUUAUCAUUAUUAUUAUUUUUAGGUAGCCUCAGUUGGUCUGCUGCUGAAUUUAUUUAUUAAUUAUUUAUGUUUGUGUUUAUAUUCAGCUUUUUCACGUUUGGAUAAGGUGUAACUUCGUAACUACUGUAUAGAAAUGUACACCGCACAAAAAGGACAAGGCAGCUAAUUUGGCAGCAGACAUUUCUAAACAGAAUAUAAUGCUGCACAGUAAACAGGACCACCCCACUUGCAUUUGAGAUGCAAUGGUAAGCGAGAAAAGCACCUCCUGUGGUGAGAUGCAUGGCACUGCACGCUGAGACAGUGACGUGGUCUAAUGUUAUUCCAAACUCGCAGUUUCUCAUUAAGUUUCUUCAUUUAAAUGUGAAUGUAACUGCCUCUCUUUUUGUGUAUAAUGGCUGAAGGCUUCAGCGGUCCUAUAAGGACAUCUAGUGUCUGCUGUAGUCAUUACAGCUGAAUAUUAUUUCAAACUGGAAAACCUCUGGAAAUAAGGUAACUCAUUUAAAAAAAAGAGAGAGAGAGAAAAUAUGACAAUGAUCUUCAGAAUCUUUGAUUUCAACAAUUAAUAUUUUAUAUCUUAAAAAUGUGGUAGGUAGUUGCACUUUAUUCUACAUUUCUCCUUUACUUUCAUGUAUUUAUUUAUUUGAGAAAGCUCUAAACUCACUCCACACGCUUUAGAGUUUUCAGACCUUUUCACAAACGUAUUCUACAUUUCAUAGACUAUUUAGUUUCUCAUAAGUCUAAAGAUCAGUCGUAGAUUUCGAUGCAAAAUCAAUCAGUAAAUAAAUAAAUAAAAGCUUUUCCAGUUGUCUGUAAA
Astatotilapia calliptera (eastern happy) is the source of this 4459-nucleotide long non-coding RNA. The record is from Ensembl. NCBI's taxonomy places the organism in Eukaryota, Metazoa, Chordata, Actinopteri, Cichliformes, Cichlidae.